RNAcentral lists this transfer RNA (77 nucleotides) under Eggerthellaceae bacterium. RNAcentral describes it as "tRNA-Arg". It matches the Rfam family "tRNA". From Rfam's summary of the family: Transfer RNA (tRNA) molecules are approximately 80 nucleotides in length. Their secondary structure includes four short double-helical elements and three loops (D, anti-codon, and T loops). Lineage: Bacteria; Bacillati; Actinomycetota; Coriobacteriia; Eggerthellales; Eggerthellaceae. The record is from RNAcentral.
GCCCCCAUAGCUCAGUUGUAUAGAGCAGCUGCCUUCUAAGCAGCGGGUCGAAGGUUAGAGUCCUUCUGGGGGCGCCA